ACAAUGGUGUCUUUAGACACCACCUUUUGUCUUCAAUUUUUUUUCU
Non-coding RNA from Picea glauca (white spruce), 46 nucleotides. Lineage: Eukaryota; Viridiplantae; Streptophyta; Pinopsida; Pinales; Pinaceae. The record is from Rfam.